This 3497-nucleotide ribosomal RNA is filed under the name Ambystoma mexicanum (axolotl). RNAcentral describes it as "eukaryotic LSU rRNA". The stretch from base 822 to 3488 matches the Rfam family "Eukaryotic large subunit ribosomal RNA". The record is from RNAcentral. Lineage: Eukaryota; Metazoa; Chordata; Amphibia; Caudata; Ambystomatidae.
AACUUGCCCGACACAAGGGGGAGCGGUGGAAGAUCGGUGGAAGGUCGUUCUCUCUCCGUUAUCCGUUGCUGUAGGGUGGCAUUGGCAGCCUUGAGAUUCUGCAUUUCCACAUUUAAGCUCUGGACUGCUGCUACAAGUUCCUGUACUUGCUGUGGCGUAGCCAUUUCAACUUCAAUUAGGCGUUGCAAACUGUCACCAGGAUCGGUGAUAUCCUCGCCAGAGAACGUAGAAUCCGAUUCACCACCCUCCCCUAACUCCUCACCUUCGACUCUUCUUCCUGUACCCUUAUUUCCUUUAAUUCUUGGUUGCUCCUUUUUUAUGUAGGUAGGGGCGCCCACGGAAGGAAGCCACCGUGACACCCAAAAAGGGUUUCCGGUGCCUCCUCCCGGGAACGCCGGGAAGGGGAAAAAGCCAAAAGGCACAAAAAACUCCUAAGCGACCUGUGUGACUCUCCUAAGGAAUGAGCUGGAAUGCUGGGAGAAUGCAGUCGGCUGAAGCUGAACUCCGUGGUAGAAAGGAUGAGGCUCCGGAGGAAGGUAGACAGUAAGUAGUACGGAAUCACACAAGGAGAACCAAGUCCAUAGGUGGAGCACAAAUGAAUGGGCAGUCCUUAAACAGGCCGGGAUCUGGUACACGGGAGAUCACAGAGGAAGGUAUCCGAAUAAGAAGAAUCAGCAAUCCAAGAAAACAGGCCUAGGUCUGGUACACAAGGAGGCAGGCAGGAGGAGAAAAAAAAACAGGAAGGGGAAAAUUAAGGAGGAAGGACGGAAGCAGAGAAGGGACGGGAGAAGGAGGGUGGCGAGAAAAGAGGAAGGGAAAAAAAAAGGGGCAGCAGGCAAGACAAGGGGAAGAGGACAAGGACCCGAUAGGGAUCGGGUAUACAGCAGCGAGUGCGAGCGAGGGAAGAGCAGGCAAAAAGGCAGAUGGCACUAACGGAGGAAACCGGAAGCGUUGCAACGCGUACACAACCCGGAAGGAGCUGUAUUUAUACUCCGGGCCGCGUAAGCGCGCAUACGCACGGUCCGAGCUGCAGGUGGGCGUGACAGGCUACCAGCGUGCACGGCAGAAUAAUGUCCGCGCCGCCAGCGGUUCCACAGGCGCCAAGUGCCGCGCGGCAUGACACAUGAUCUCAACCUAUUCCAAAACUUUAAAUGGGUAAGAAGCCUGGCGUGGAGCUGGGCAUCGAAUGCAAGUGCCCAGUGGGCAACUUUUGGUAAGCAGAACUGGCGCUGCGGGAUGAACCGAAUUCCGGGCUAAGGCUGCCUAUGCACAUCGGACCACAGAAAAGGUUUUGGUUGAUAUAGACAGCAGGACGGUGGCCAUGGAAGUCGGACUCCGCUAAGGAGUGUGUAACAAUUUACCAGCCGAAUCAACUAGCCCUGAAAAUGAAUGGCACUGGAGCGUCGGGCCCAUACCAGGCCGUUGCUGAGAGCUGCGGGGGUUAAGCCGUGACGAGAAGGAGGGCCGCUGCGGUGCGCACAGAAGCCCGGGGCUAGGGCCCGUGUGGAGCCGCCGCAGGUGCAGAUCUUGGUGGUAGCAGCAUAUAUUCACACAAGAACUUUGAAGGCCGAAAGUGAGAAGGGUUCCAUGUGAACAGCAUGAACAUGGGUCAAUCGGUCCUAAGAGAUGGGCGAGCACCAUCGGAAGGGACGGGUGAUGGCCUCUGCCGAUCUACAGGGAGUCUGGUUCAGAUCCCCCUAACCCGGAGUGGCGGAGACGGGCACCCCCGCGGCAUCAGUGCGGUGAUCGCGGAGAAGCCGGCGGGAAGCCCCGGGGAGGGUUCACUUUUCUUUGUGAAGAGCAGGGCACCCUGGGCCUUAGAAAGCGUCACGGUUCCGGCGGCGUGCGGUGAGCUCUCGCUAGUCCUUGAAAAUCUGGUGUAGAUGGUGUAAAUCUUGUGCCGGGCCAAACCCAUAUCCGCAGCAGUCUCCAAGGUGAAUAGCCUCUGGCAUGUUUGAACAAUGUAGGUAAGGGAAGUCGGCAAAUCAUAUCUGUAACUUUGGGAUAAGGAUUGGUUCUUAGGGCUGGGUCGGUUGGGCUGGGAUGCGAAGCGGGGCUGGGCGCGUGCCAAGUCUAGAUUGCGAGCUUGGCCCUUCCUGUGGAUCACCCUAGCUGCGGUGGUUGCCUCUCUCCAUUCCCCUCCCAGGGUUCGGGGCCGACGUUCUGCCUCGGUCAACGCCUAGCAGCUGACUUAGAACUGGUGCGGACCAGGGGAAUCUGACUGUUUAAUUAAAACAAAGCAUCACGAAGGCCCACAGUGGGUGUUGAUGCAAUGUGAUUUCUGCCCAUUGCUCUGAAAGUCAAAGUGAAGAAAUUCAAUGAAGUGUGGGUAAACAUCGGGAGUAACUAUGACUCUCUUAAGUUAGCCGAAUGCCUUGUCAUCUAAUUAGUGAUGCGCAAGAAUGGAUGAACGAGAUUCCCACUGUCCCUACCUACUAUCGACGGAAACCAAGGACAAGGGAACAGGCGUGGCAGAAUCAGCGGGGAAAGAAUACCAGAGUGAGCUUGCCUCUAGUCUGGCACUGUGAAGAGACAUGAGAGGUGUAAGGUAAGUGGGAGGCCCUCGGGCUGCCGGUGAAAUACCACUACUCUUCUCAUUUCUUCACUUACCUGGUGAGGUGGGGGGCGAGCCCUGUGGGGCUCUCCCUUUUGGAUCCAAGCGCUUGCCAUGCGCGACCCGCUCCGGGGACAGUGGCAGGUGGGGAGUUUGACUGGGGUGGUACACCUGUCAAACGAUAACACAGGUGUCCUAAGGCAAGCUCAGGGAGGACAGAAACCUCCUGUGGAGCAGAAGGGCAAAAGCUUGUUGGAUCUCGAUUUUUAAGUAUGAAUCCACAUGAAAGCGGGGCCUCACAAUCCUUAUGACUUUUUGGGUUUCAAGCAGGAGGUGUCCGAAAAGUUAUCACAGGGAUAACUGGCUUUUGGCGGCCAAGCAUUCAUAGCAACGUUGCUUUUUGAUCCUUCGAUGUCAGCUCUUCCUAUCACUGUGAAGCAGAAUUCACCAAGCGUUGGAUUGGUCCCCCACUAAUAGGGAACGUGAGGUGGGUUUAGACCCUUGUGAGAAAAGUUCAUUUUACCCUACUGAUGAUGUGGUGUUGCAAUAGUAAUCCUGCUCAGUACUAGAGGAACCGCAGAUUCAGACAUUUGGUGUAUGUGCUUGGCUGAGGAGCCAAUGGGGUGAUGUGGCUGAACGCCUCCAAGUUUGAAUUCCCCCCCCCCCAAACCGUAACGAUACUGCAGCGCUGUCGAGCCUCAGUUGGCCUAGGAUAGCCUGCCUCUGGGCCGGUGCGUAGAGCUGCUCACCUCAGGACUCUAGUGUGGACAGAAGGGGGCACCUCUCUCACCCGUAGUGCACCGCAUGUUUUUGGGGAACCUGGUGGUGCUAAAUCAUUCGUAGACAACCUGGUUCUGGUUCAGGGUUUCGUAAGUAGCAGAGCAGCUACCGCACUGUGAUCUUUUGAAAGUCAUCCUCUGAGCCAACCUUUUGUCGCAAGGCG